RNAcentral lists this ribosomal RNA (819 nucleotides) under uncultured archaeon. RNAcentral's name for it is "bacterial SSU rRNA". It matches the Rfam family "Archaeal small subunit ribosomal RNA", at positions 535 to 1353 of the family's 1478-position model. The record is from RNAcentral.
AAGUUUCCGGUUAAAUCCAUUUGCUCAACAAAUGGGCUGCCGGAAAAACUGCAAAGCUAGGGAGUGGGAGAGGUAGACGGUACUCGGUAGGAAGGGGUAAAAUCCUUUGAUCUAUUGAUGACCACCUGUGGCGAAGGCGGUCUACCAGAACACGUUCGACGGUGAGGGAUGAAAGCUGGGGGAGCAAACCGGAUUAGAUACCCGGGUAGUCCCAGCUGUAAACGAUGCAGACUCGGUGAUGCGCUGGCUUGUGGCCAGUGCAGUGCCGCAGGGAAGCCGUUAAGUUUGCCGCCUGGGAAGUACGUACGCAAGUAUGAAACUUAAAGGAAUUGGCGGGGGAGCACCACAAGGGGUGAAGCCUGCGGUUCAAUUGGAGUCAACGCCAGAAAUCUUACCCGGAGAGACAGCAGAAUGAAGGUCAAGCUGAAGACUUUACCGGACAAGCUGAGAGGUGGUGCAUGGCCGUCGCCAGCUCGUGCCGUGAGAUGUCCUGUUAAGUCAGGUAACGAGCGAGAUCCCUGCCUCUAGUUGCCACCAUUACUCUCAGGAGUAGUGGGGCGAAUUAGCGGGACCGCCACAGUUAAUGUGGAGGAAGGAAGGGGCCACGGCAGGUCAGUAUGCCCCGAAACUCUGGGGCCACACGCGGGCUGCAAUGGUAGUGACAAUGAGUUCCGAAACCGAAAGGUGGAGGUAAUCUUCAAACGCUACCACAGUUAUGAUUGAGGGCUGCAACUCGCCCUCAUGAAUAUGGAAUCCCUAGUAACUGCGUGUCAUUAUCGCGCGGUGAAUACGUCCCUGCUCCUUGCACACACCGCCCGU